AGGCCCCCUGAAACGGGGUCUAAUACCGGAUAACACUCUGUCCCGCAUGGGACGGGGUUAAAAGCUCCGGCGGUGAAGGAUGAGCCCGCGGCCUAUCAGCUUGUUGGUGGGGUAAUGGCCUACCAAGGCGACGACGGGUAGCCGGCCUGAGAGGGCGACCGGCCACACUGGGACUGAGACACGGCCCAGACUCCUACGGGAGGCAGCAGUGGGGAAUAUUGCACAAUGGGCGAAAGCCUGAUGCAGCGACGCCGCGUGAGGGAUGACGGCCUUCGGGUUGUAAACCUCUUUCAGCAGGGAAGAAGCGAAAGUGACGGUACCUGCAGAAGAAGCGCCGGCUAACUACGUGCCAGCAGCCGCGGUAAUACGUAGGGCGCAAGCGUUGUCCGGAAUUAUUGGGCGUAAAGAGCUCGUAGGCGGCUUGUCACGUCGGAUGUGAAAGCCCGGGGCUUAACCCCGGGUCUGC
RNAcentral lists this ribosomal RNA (466 nucleotides) under Streptomyces sp. M3(2015). RNAcentral describes it as "bacterial SSU rRNA". It matches the Rfam family "Bacterial small subunit ribosomal RNA", at positions 144 to 624 of the family's 1533-position model. Lineage: Bacteria; Bacillati; Actinomycetota; Actinomycetes; Kitasatosporales; Streptomycetaceae. The record is from RNAcentral.